GCGGGUGUCGUAUAACGGCUAUUACAUUACCUUGCCAAGGUAGAGACGGGAGUUCGACUCUCCUCACCCGCUCCA
This 75-nucleotide transfer RNA is filed under the name candidate division Kazan bacterium RIFCSPHIGHO2_01_FULL_49_10. Its description in RNAcentral is "tRNA-Gly". It matches the Rfam family "tRNA". From Rfam's summary of the family: Transfer RNA (tRNA) molecules are approximately 80 nucleotides in length. Their secondary structure includes four short double-helical elements and three loops (D, anti-codon, and T loops). RNAcentral also lists the same sequence under 2 other names. The record is from RNAcentral.